RNAcentral lists this ribosomal RNA (230 nucleotides) under uncultured bacterium. RNAcentral describes it as "partial 16S ribosomal RNA". It matches the Rfam family "Bacterial small subunit ribosomal RNA", at positions 562 to 791 of the family's 1533-position model. The record is from RNAcentral.
AAAGGGUGCGUAGGCGGCCUGUUAAGUCAGGGGUGAAAGACGGUAGCUCAACUAUCGCAGUGCCCUUGAUACUGAUGGGCUUGAAUUGACUAGAGGUAGGCGGAAUGUGACAAGUAGCGGUGAAAUGCAUAGAUAUGUCACAGAACACCGAUUGCGAAGGCAGCUUACUAUGGUCUUAUUGACGCUGAGGCACGAAAGCGUGGGGAUCAAACAGGAUUAGAUACCCGUGU